CCGUAUUGAGCGUUCCUCUAUGUCUAAGCGACAAGCUGCACUAACGUCUUUUGGGUUUGGUGUACCUGGCAGUUGUAGUAAUACCCCACCACCCGCAACGCGUCCUGUUACUGCUGGAUGAGACAUACUGGCUGCUGGAACGGAUGCUGGUCAACAUCAGCUGGAACAAUUGAUUCGCGGGUCACUGCAUUGAAAUUCAGCGAAUUGCAUCCCCCAUAUGACCUUGGGCAGGUUUUGAAGUUUGCUAGGCAGUUGUCUGAGCAGGAGAGGUAUGCAGUUAUUUUCAAUGUAUACAAACCAGAACCAGACUUUGUGUUCCCCACCCAUGAGGACUUUGGGAAAGAAAAGUGUUCUUCUUAUGGUUGGUUGAAGAACAACAGCCUAUGGCUUGUCUACUCAAAGGCACUAGAUGGUGGAUUCUGUCUGCCAUGAGAUCGUUGUCUACUACAAGUCGUGCAAACGGUAAGACUUACGAAUCGACUUUCCAGUGAACUGGAUACAUACGAGUCAUGGGUUUCUGAGGCCAUACUCUUACGAUGCGAUGAUUGCUUGUGCGUUGAAAGC
Long non-coding RNA from Corticium candelabrum, 564 nucleotides. RefSeq lists it as uncharacterized. NCBI's taxonomy places the organism in Eukaryota, Metazoa, Porifera, Homoscleromorpha, Homosclerophorida, Plakinidae. The record is from RefSeq and is a predicted model, not a curated record. The transcript has 3 exons.